RNAcentral lists this ribosomal RNA (449 nucleotides) under uncultured bacterium. RNAcentral's name for it is "partial 16S ribosomal RNA". It matches the Rfam family "Bacterial small subunit ribosomal RNA", at positions 29 to 523 of the family's 1533-position model. The record is from RNAcentral.
AACGAACGCUGGCGGCAUGCCUAACACAUGCAAGUCGAACGAGACCUUCGGGUCUAGUGGCGCACGGGUGCGUAACGCGUGGGAACCUGCCCUUAGGUUCGGAAUAACGUCGGGAAACUGACGCUAAUACCGGAUAAUGUCUUCGGACCAAAGAUUUAUCGCCUUUGGAUGGGCCCGCGUAGGAUUAGCUAGUUGGUGAGGUAACGGCUCACCAAGGCGACGAUCCUUAGUUGGUCUUAGAGGAUGAUCAGCCACACUGGGACUGAGACACGGCCCAGACUCCUACGGGAGGCAGCAGUGGGGAAUAUUGGACAAUGGGCGCAAGCCUGAUCCAGCAAUGCCGCGUGAGUGAUGAAGGCCUUAGGGUUGUAAAGCUCUUUUACCCGGGAUGAUAAUGACAGUACCGGGAGAAUAAGCCCCGGCUAACUCCGUGCCAGCCGCCGCGGUAA